AUUGAACGCUGGCGGCAGGCCUAACACAUGCAAGUCGAGCGGAUGAAGGGAGCUUGCUCCUGGAUUCAGCGGCGGACGGGUGAGUAAUGCCUAGGAAUCUGCCUGGUAGUGGGGGAUAACGUCCGGAAACGGGCGCUAAUACCGCAUACGUCCUGAGGGAGAAAGUGGGGGAUCUUCGGACCUCACGCUAUCAGAUGAGCCUAGGUCGGAUUAGCUAGUUGGUGGGGUAAAGGCCUACAAAGGCGACGAUCCGUAACUGGUCUGAGAGGAUGAUCAGUCACACUGGAACUGAGACACGGUCCAGACUCCUACGGGAGGCAGCAGUGGGGAAUAUUGGACCAUUGGCGAAAGCCUGAUCCAGCCAUGCCGCGUGUGUGAAGAAGGUCUUCGGAUUGUAAAGCACUUUAAGUUGGGAGGAAGGGCAGUAAGUUAAUACCUUGCUGUUUUGACGUUACCAACAGAAUAAGCACCGGCUAACUUCGUG
Molecule: ribosomal RNA, 484 nt
Filed under: uncultured bacterium
Lineage: Bacteria
Description: partial 16S ribosomal RNA
Rfam family: Bacterial small subunit ribosomal RNA
Source: RNAcentral